Molecule: long non-coding RNA, 998 nt
Organism: Alnus glutinosa
Lineage: Eukaryota; Viridiplantae; Streptophyta; Magnoliopsida; Fagales; Betulaceae
Exons: 3
Source: RefSeq, a predicted model, not a curated record
CUUCUUUUUCUUGCCGGAAACAGAGACAACAAGAGGGAGAGAGUGAGACUGAGAUGAGAGAUCAAGGGAGAGAGUGAGAUUGAGAGACCGAGAGAGAGAGAUUCAGAGACUGAUCGAGAGGAAGAGAACCCGGGUGAGACCCGACCAACCCAGACCCACGUCCGUGGGUCAGCACCGAUAGUCGACCGGAAGCCCGAUUUCCGGAGGGUCGAUGGCGGGCUGACAGCGUUGUCCAGCAGAGCAGGGGCCGUGAAACCCGGCCGACCCAUCAAACCCGAAGAAAACCCGAGAGAUCCAAGAAACCCGUGACUCACGACCCGUGACCGUUGAACCCGACGACGUCGUCCAGUAGAGCGGAGGCUGUUUUCCGACGAGACAAGUUUAUUUUCGGUGGAGCCCAGGCCGAUUUCCGGCCGAUCGAGGAGGACCCGAGCGACCCGCGAGCCAAACCCGUCGGAACCUGGGAGAACUGGUGCGACCCGAAUCUUCCGGAGGUUCGAUCCUCCAUGUCCGGCGAUCCCUGUAGCAGUUUCCGGUGAGUCGUUACCCGUGUGCAACAACCCAGCCGAACCCCGAAGCCCCGUGACCCAGAACCUGACCCCAUGACCCGAAGACCCGAGAGGAAGACCCGGUUCUUCUUGUGCAAUUCCGGCGAAUUUCCAACGAUUUUUCCGGCGAACCAGAGCCGAUUUUCGGUGAUUUCUUCGGUGGAUUUUCUGGGAAAAUCCUCAAAGUAAAAGCUCGACUCCGAGGCUAACGGCUAGUGCAGAUGACAACUGUAAGAUGAAGUCUUUUUCUUGUAAGGGCGUAGACCUCGCUGAGAGCGAUAGUUCGUGAUGAACCAGCCAAACCCUAAUAUUGUAUAGUAUGAUUUGUUCCUUUUGGAGUUCAUGAUUUUGUAUAGAUUUAUAAAUAGAAAGUUUUAAGAGAGUAGAAAUUUUAAAUUUUUAGUUGUAAAUGCACGCUUUCAUUUAUAAUGUUUGUUUUUAGCACUUAAA